RNAcentral lists this ribosomal RNA (380 nucleotides) under uncultured eukaryote. RNAcentral describes it as "partial 18S ribosomal RNA". It matches the Rfam family "Eukaryotic small subunit ribosomal RNA", at positions 592 to 976 of the family's 1831-position model. The record is from RNAcentral.
CAAUAGCGUAUAUUAAAGUUGUUGCAGUUAAAAAGCUCGUAGUCGGAUUUUGGCAUCACGCCGAACUGUCUGCCGAUUGGUAAGUACGGUUUGGCGGGUGCUUCUUUCUUGAAGCUCGUUCCCUUCUUAACUGAAGGGUUCGUUGGUUCGGGUUCUUUUACUUUGAGAAAAUUAGAGUGUUCAAAGCAGGCCUAUGCUCUGAAUAGGUUAGCAUGGAAUAAUAGAAUAGGACUUUGGUUCUAUUUUGUUGGUUUCUAGGACCGAAGUAAUGAUUAAUAGGGACAGUUGGGGGCAUUCAUAUUCCAUUGUCAGAGGUGAAAUUCUUGGAUUAACGGAAGAUGAACUUCUGCGAAAGCAUCUGCCAAGGAUGUUUUCAUUGA